GUAGGGUGCGAGCGUUAAUCGGAAUUACUGGGCGUAAGCGUGCGCAGGCGGUUUUGUAAGCCAGAUGUGAAAUCCCCGGGCUUAACCUGGGAAUGGCAUUUGGGACUGCAAGGCUGGAGUAUGGCAGAGGGGACUAGAAUUCCUGGUGUAGCAGUGAAAUGCGUAGAUAUCAGGAAGAAUACCGAUGGCGAAGGCAGGUCCCUGGGCUAAUACUGACGCUCAUGCACGAAAGCGUGGGGAGCAAACAGGAUUAGAUACCCUGGUAGUCCACGCCCUAAACGAUGUCGACUGGUUGUUGGGGGUUUGACACUCUCAGUAACGAAGCUAACGCGUGAAGUCGACCGCCUGGGGAGUACGGCCGCAAGGUUA
Molecule: ribosomal RNA, 369 nt
Filed under: uncultured bacterium
Lineage: Bacteria
Description: bacterial SSU rRNA
Rfam family: Bacterial small subunit ribosomal RNA
Source: RNAcentral